Molecule: long non-coding RNA, 1347 nt
Filed under: Oryctolagus cuniculus (rabbit)
Lineage: Eukaryota; Metazoa; Chordata; Mammalia; Lagomorpha; Leporidae
Description: lncRNA (ENSOCUG00000035773.1)
Source: RNAcentral
ACCUUGCAGAUACAUGAUCCAUAUGUGUAACUCACUUGAAUUAUAUUCCAAUCACAGCAGGGUAUAUACGAGAAGCAUAAUGUUUUCAAUAUUUGCUUAAAUCAUCAAAGAUGCUCCAGAAAAUAGAGAUACCUCUGAGAUGAACUAUACAUCUAGACCUUCUAAUCUUUUUUUAAAAAAAGAUUUUAUUUAUUUAUUUGAGAGAUAGAGUUAAAGACAGUGAGAGGGAGAAGAGACAGAAAGAAAGGUCUUCCUUGAGCUGGUUCACUCCCCAAAUGGCCGCAAUGGCCGGAGCUGCACUGAUCUGAAGCCAGGAGUCAGGAGCGUCUUCCAGGCCUCCCAUCCAGGUGCAGAGGCCCAAGCACUUGGGCCAUCUUCCACUACAUAUAGCAGAGGAGCAGCCGGGACUCGAACCGGUGGCCGUAUGGGAUGCUAGUGCCGCAGACAGAGGAUUAACCUACUGCGCCACAGCGCUGGCCCCAGACCUUCUAAUCUUUUAGCCAACAUAAUGGCCCUUAAGGAUAUCAGUAUACUGCUUAUUCUGUUAACAUGGGCUUUGUGCUGUUAUUGGAAAGAUAAGUGCUGAUACUGAUAUGUCUCCAACUGGUUGUCAUAAUCCAAUGAUUUUCUGCCAAAUAACUAUUCCAGCUGGUUCUCCAGACACAGUGAGAAACACCAGGGAAUGGGGAGUUUUCAGUGUCAGGAUAACUUUUCCAAAGAAGCACAAGGGUCCAGGCCCUCAGGCACUGGAGUCCUUGUCCGGUCUGGGCAGGCACAGAGCAUCACAUUCCCUUUCUCAUGCACUUUGGUUUCCUUUGUCGUCAAGACGCAGACCCAUCAUGCUGACGGCUCAUGGUUGUUCCAAGGCUGAAAUGUCAGAGUUUGGGGCUCAAGUGGAUUAACUACUCCUGAGCAUUAGAGACCGAGAUGAAUUCUCCAGAAGCAGUCCCAUCACAGAUGGCUGGGAGCCACGCUGAUUAGAAUGCUCACUGUUCCAGCGCGAGGACGUGUUGGGGUGAGAGAGAGAAAAAUAUUUCCUUCUUAAGCUGAGGAUUUCCCAGAAGGUAAUAGGAAAAGAGUCUAAAUCAAGGUUAAAAAAUGAAUACAUUAUCUGUUUCAUGUUUACCCAUUGGCAGGUCUUAUAAGUUAAGAAGAAAGUAAUAUCUUUGAGGAAGUUCCCAUUUAAAAUCAGUUAUGAACAAAAUCCAAUGGCAUUGAAUGUUUGCAUUAGAUAAGCUCCCCAAAGCCUCAUUCUCAAAGUCAAAGAUUUUAUAUUUCCAUUAGUUUUCCUUCCAACCAUUCUAGCAAAGUAAUAAAAAAAGUGUGCUGGAUGAAGAGAGAGGAUCU